CACGCCGUAAACGAUGUCAACUAGCCGUUGGGAGCCUUGAGCUCUUAGUGGCGCAGCUAACGCAUUAAGUUGACCGCCUGGGGAGUACGGCCGCAAGGUUAAAACUCAAAUGAAUUGACGGGGGCCCGCACAAGCGGUGGAGCAUGUGGUUUAAUACGAAGCAACGCGAAGAACCUUACCAGGCCUUGACAUCCAAUGAACUUUCCAGAGAUGGAUUGGUGCCUUCGGGAACAUUGAGACAGGUGG
This 246-nucleotide ribosomal RNA is filed under the name uncultured bacterium. RNAcentral describes it as "partial 16S ribosomal RNA". It matches the Rfam family "Bacterial small subunit ribosomal RNA", at positions 796 to 1041 of the family's 1533-position model. The record is from RNAcentral.